RNAcentral lists this long non-coding RNA (4308 nucleotides) under Glycine max (soybean). RNAcentral's name for it is "long non-coding RNA (GMAX_LNC002773)". The record is from RNAcentral. Lineage: Eukaryota; Viridiplantae; Streptophyta; Magnoliopsida; Fabales; Fabaceae.
CUUCCUUGUCAUUAUUGCAACCACAACUUAAAAAUAAAACUAUAUGCAUAGUUUGCAUAACAUUGGAACAAAUUAUGCCAAAACAAAAAAAUAAAAGAUGCUAUAAUGAACAUUGAUAUCCGAAACACUUACAAUCAGCUUCUAAUGACUUCAUCUGCACAACAAAAUAAAGUGCAAAGUCUACAAAACAUUCAAAAAAACCUCAAAAUUUUGUCCAAAACACAUUAAACUUAAAUAGAAAACCAACAAUUGAAUUAAAACCUUAAAUGUUAACACAACGAACAACUAACCCCAAAACCCUAAAGCCAGAACUAAAUGAACACCUACAUUCAAUUUCUAACGACUUCAUCUGCACAACAAAAUGUAGUGCAAAGUCUACAAAACAUAUGAAAAAACCCUCAACAUUUUUCCCACCUCACAUUAAACUUAAACAAAAAAAACCAACAGCUAAAUCUAAACCUCAAAUGUUAACACAACGAACAACUAACCCCAAAACAAAAAGUGUAAUACGCAAAAAACUGAUAUCCCAUAAAAUAAAAUAAAAAUUAACACAAAAUCAAUUUUACAAAGAAAAAGCUCACUUACCAAAUGAACCUUCGAUCAAGCUUACACCAACCCCAACGAUGAUUGAAAUAUAGUAGUAUAGAGGAGAUGAAGAGAUAAGAAGAAUGUUGGAAAUGUGGAUGUUGUGUGGAAAAGAGAAAUGAGAGAUAUGAGUGUAAGCGUGAGUGUGAUGAACCAUUUCUCCUUUACAAGAGAGAAAAAUUAGAAGAGAGACAAAUGAGUGACAAUAGUUGCUUACUGUCUUGUCAAUAAGCAAAGAAGUGUUUAGAAGUUCUUUAAAAAAUUGAACCCAUCGCUUUCUCAUUUUUUUCUCCCCAUUUUGCUAACUAAGGGAAGACAAGUAUCGAAACAUGAAAUAAAUAGCAUCAAUUUCCCCCACGAAUGUCUCUCUUGUGCUUGCUUCAAACCUCAAACUCCUCUGCGGUUUCGCUUGUUGUUCUUCUUCAUAGGUAACUCAAAUAAAAAAAUAAUAACUGAUAAACAUAUUUACACCAUAAAAUUAAACUUUGAUGUUUGAAAAAGGAAAAAACCAAAUAAAACUGAAUACACCUUUAUUUCCACUUUCAUCGCCUAACUAUCAAGAAGAUGAGUCUAUGAUAUUAACCCUUACCUUUUCCCUUAACCUUUGUGUGUUAUAUAUUACUCUAUAAUUAUGUUCAAAAAUAAAUUUUAAAGAAAGUCAUUGUUACUUUAAUAAUCACAAUAUUUUAUUAUGUUUGACAAAUUUACACAUAACAUACAUAGUUGAAUUCCAAAAUAUUUGUCUCUGAAUUAAAUGAAAAAAAGUACUUUUUUUUUUAUUCAAUGUGUUAUGUAGUAUUUAAUAAAUUCAAAUAGUAAAACAAUAAACUCAAUGUGCAGACAGAAACACAAAUUUUAGUUACACAAUAUUAAUUAUUAUAAGUAAAUAUAUGUAAGACAUGCCAUAUUAAUGAUAGAUAUAUAAGAAAAUAAAUGAGGAAGAACAAAUAAGUAAGUAAUUAAUGUUGAAGAAAUAAGUAUGAAUUAAAAUUAAGUUGUACACACAUCUUACUAAGAAUAGAUAAAAAAAACAAUUUGUAAAUGCAUCUAAAUAGAGUAAUGUUUAAAACAUAACAAAUUAAAUUAUUGGAUUGUCAUAUAACAAAAACAAAUUUCAGUUAGACAUACACUAUUGGUUUUGUGUUAAUAAUAAUUCAAGAAUGGGAAUAUUUUCAUCACCUUUUUUUUUGGGCAAAGGCAUGUAAGAAGGUCAAACACAAAUAAACUGUCAAAAAUAAAUUUUAGAGGGCAAGCUUAUUUCCAUUUCAAAGACAAAAUACAUUCAAUUAAAAUUGAAAAGGUUUUAUGUACCCAUGUCUUAUUGAAGGCCAUUAAUCUGAAUUAGGGUUGAAAAACAUCAUUGUUGUAUUAUGAACGUUUCAACCACAACAUCACCUACAAAUUUUAGAGGGAAAUUGCUUAAAAAUAAAGAAUCCAAACAUGAAUAAAUGUUAACUUUUUAGAGGAGCAAAAAAGAAAAAAAAAACAGCAAUAAUUAUAAUAAUAAUACUUUAUGUAUAAAGCGUUAAACAUAUUUGUUUUCUAAGCAUAUAAUAUUGGGGAAGACUCGCUUAUUUUUGCAAAUUGGAUUGCAAUUGUUGUUACUGAAGUUGUGUUUUGAAUAAGCCAAUUUAAACCUUCUUCAGCAUAGUUAUCAUGCAACACAUAUUCCACCUUUCCCCCAUGCAUUUAAACAAAAACAAAUUUAUAUAAAAAAAAUUGUAGAUUUGAAAUAAGUAAACAUACAUAUGAUCUAAAAUUUCAAAGAUAAAUUUUGAGAUCCUGUUGUUGUUACGUAAAUCUUGUUUUGGUCUAGACCUUGUUGUGACAACAUCAACUAUAUCUAUGUAAAAAAACAUUGUGUUAGUAAUAUCAUAUAUUUUCAUAGAAAUAAAGAUAUAAAAUGAAUAAUAUGUGUUAUUAGCCAUCAAAAACUCUGAAUAUUACUUUAGAUUGGAAAUUUCAUUGAUGUGGACAGGUAUUAGCCCAAAGUUAGUAUAGAUAUCAAAUUCAACCUCUCUAAUGUCAGUUUUUUUGUUAAUUGUAGGAUAUUAUCAUGUUUGUUGGCCAGCAUUAUUCAAUAACUUAACAUUGUCAAAGGUGAAAUUUUUUUCAGGAUUUAUCUUAUCCUUUAAAACCAUAUCAUAAAUUUUCUCUUUCAUUAGAGCUUCAAUUCUACAACCCUGUACAUCGAAAUAGAAAUACAUAUAAAUGUCAUGUACAUUGAAAUAGAAAUAUGCAUAAAUAAUUGUAAUCAACUUCUUUCUAUUUGCAAUUCACAUUACUUCAAAUCUCAAAAAUAAAAAUAGUAAAUAGAAGAAAAAGUAUGAUCCAUAUUAAGAACAUACCUCUGAAUCUAUCAAAAUGAACUUAAUAUAAGAUUCAUGUUUCCCGUUGAUAAGUUGGCAGAAUGGCAAAUAUCUAAUAAUCUAACAUUUUACAAACCAUUUCACUUGAGUUGGGUUGAUCUCUUUAAUUUUGAUUUCUCUUAAAGUAUUUGAAGACAUAACUGAAUAGCAGUGAGAAAAGACAAAAUAAACAUUAAAUCUAUAAAAUAAGAUAUGCUUGUAGGCAUAAGCAGCAAAAUAUGAACGAGCAAAAACUUUAAACCGAACUUGCAAACACAAGUAGCAAAAUAUGAAAGAGGCUAUAGAGAAACACUCAAAAACCACUCUCCAAUAAUUGAACUGGUAAAACAACAAACUCAAGCUCUAUCCAGAAGGAAUAAAAUAUGAAAGUGUUCACAUAGAAACACUUCAAAUAGAAUAACCACCAAACAUCAAUUAUUAGCAUUAAUAAAAAAGAAAAUAAUCAACUCAACCUCAACGAAACCAAGUCAACACUGGACACAACAAACCACAGUAAACCACAGUAAUUAUAGUCACUCAAUAGCCAAAACAUCUCUUCAUAAAGUAAAUUUGAAAUCCAAACCCUCAAACCCAAUCAAACAACUUCAAACUUCAAACCUCAAACAAACUCCUAACACAAAAUAAGGAAUGAAAACAACGCACAGAGUAUUUACCUAGAUUGAAUCAAACAUUCAUACAUUGCUAAUAAAAAAGAAUCCACAAAAAGAAUUAACACGAAAUCAAUUGUUUUUAAAAAAACCCACAAAAAAAUUAAUAUAAAUUCAAUUUUAAAAAACACACCUCACUUACUAAAUGAUUCUUUGGGGCCAAAUUGACGAUAGCCCCAACAUUAAACUCCAAAAUUUGAUUAGAAAAACCCUCACUUACCAAAUGAAUCUUCGGCCAAGCCUACCACAGCCCCAACGAUAUUUGAACUGUAGUAGAUUCAAAUGAAGAGGUAAAGAGAAGAGAUGAAGAGAGAAGAAAAAUGUUCGGAACAGUCAAGGGUGUGCAUAUGAUGAAAAGCUCGUGUUGAUGAAGCUUGGGUCGAUGAAGAGGGAGUGAGGCUCGAGUCUAAUGAAGAAGCUCGGGUCCACGAAGAGGGAGUGUUCUUCUUUUUUUCUUUGAAUGAGUAAGUAUUUUUUUCAAAGUUCCCAUUUUACCAACAUAUAGAGGAUAGGUGUGACGCAAGAAAUGAGGGUAAAAUGGUCAUUUCUAGGGCCUAAGAAUUCUUUAAGUUAUAUUAGAUAGAUUAAUCAAGUCCCAGCAAACAUGCUUUGUACUUGUGCAUCAGAAGUAGUAUUUAUUAUCUGAUUAUGCAUUAUUAUUGUAUUCUUCUUGUGGGGUUAAAAAUCCUCGUUGAAUAAAGUGUCGC